This 319-nucleotide long non-coding RNA is filed under the name Nicotiana benthamiana. Its description in RNAcentral is "long non-coding RNA (NBEN_LNC013797)". Lineage: Eukaryota; Viridiplantae; Streptophyta; Magnoliopsida; Solanales; Solanaceae. The record is from RNAcentral.
UUGAAGGAAACUCUAAUUGCAUGGUGGUCAGAGCAUCAGAUGCUUCCUCCUCGCAAGGGCAUUUCUCUACCGACAGACAAGGGGCUGAAAUUGAACAAGUUAUGACGCAGGACGUCAAUUGGUUGGAGAAGAAAAAGCGUCGGAGGAAGCCAGCUAGGAGAAUAGUCUCAUUGUGUGUUGAAAGUGAACAAGUUAUGACGCAGGACGUCAAUUGGUUGGAGAAGAAAAAGCGUCGGAGGAAACCUGCUAGGAGAAUAAUCUCAUUGUGUGAGGAAAAUGAAGAUAAUAAGACAGCAGAAGCCAAAAAACCAGAUGUAGA